This 369-nucleotide ribosomal RNA is filed under the name uncultured bacterium. RNAcentral's name for it is "bacterial SSU rRNA". It matches the Rfam family "Bacterial small subunit ribosomal RNA", at positions 30 to 396 of the family's 1533-position model. The record is from RNAcentral.
AUUGAACGCUGGCGGCAUGCCUUACACAUGCAAGUCGAACGGCAGCACGGGAGCAAUCCUGGUGGCGAGUGGCGAACGGGUGAGUAAUAUAUCGGAACGUGCCCAGUCGUGGGGGAUAACGUAGCGAAAGCUACGCUAAUACCGCAUACGAUCUAUGGAUGAAAGCGGGGGAUCGCAAGACCUCGCGCGAUUGGAGCGGCCGAUAUCAGAUUAGGUAGUUGGUGAGGUAAAGGCUCACCAAGCCGACGAUCUGUAGCUGGUCUGAGAGGACGACCAGCCACACUGGGACUGAGACACGGCCCAGACUCCUACGGGAGGCAGCAGUGGGGAAUUUUUGGACAAAUGGGCGGCAAGCCUGAUCCAGCAAUG